AAUUCUCAAAUCUUACAUCUGACUGAAAAGUUUUCAUGUUUGAUUUGGAUUGUGGGAGUUGCUGGCUCUCCUAGAGUCUGCUCUUCUUAAACACAUUAGUGAAGGGUAUUUCUUUGCUCUUUGUUAGUAUAAUAAUUGUUUGUACUAUCGAAAGAUCGAAGUCUCGAUUUCGAGGAAUGUGACCUUACACUUCUAAUAGUUGUUCUAGCCAGGACAAGUUUGAUGA
Molecule: unclassified non-coding RNA, 226 nt
Filed under: uncultured Basidiomycota
Lineage: Eukaryota; Fungi; Basidiomycota
Description: sequence contains ITS2
Source: RNAcentral